Molecule: long non-coding RNA, 1612 nt
Filed under: Sarcophilus harrisii (Tasmanian devil)
Lineage: Eukaryota; Metazoa; Chordata; Mammalia; Dasyuromorphia; Dasyuridae
Description: lncRNA (ENSSHAG00000028664.1)
Source: RNAcentral
CCCAGAGCUCUCUCCCUCACCACCCUGGCCUGCUUGAUUCGGCCACAUCCUGGUCCAAGAUGGGGGGGGGCAGGAGACAAGAGAAAGGCCUCACGAGUACUUUGCUGGUGCUACCCGCCUUGACCCUCUGAGGUGGGCCUGGCUGCUUUUGGUGACCUUGGUCAAGGGUGGGAAGGGCUUGAGGGGCAAAGGCUGGAAGAAGGCCAGGCAGCUGCCUUUCCACCCCAUUUGGUCCAAGGGUACCGGCAUCAGCACAGGCAACUCCUUGCCUCCAGGGCCAUCUCUCCUCACAACUGGCCCUUUAUUCCAGCUGAGAGGUCCUACUGCUCCAGAUGUUGUCAGAUGGGGGCUCCCACAGGUGUUCGUGGGCAAGGGGGGCUGGGGUCCCCCCAAUACAAUCUCUUCCCCCUUGCUCAGGGGCGGCUUGAGAAUCGAGCCCGUCUGAUACAAGGAAGAUAGAGGCCGGAGCCAGGGCUGAGGCCCAAGUCUGCUGGGGGGGGGGGAACCCUCCGGCUUUUCCAUUCCCAACUCCCAGCCCCACCCCCCGGCCAGAGAAGCAAUGGCCAGGGCAGAGUCGGCCUUCCAAAAACCAUUGCUAACAGUUUUAUUUCUAACAAGAGGAAAAUAAUAAAAUAAAAUUAAAAGAGGCAACUUCGGGAAAGACGUGUUUCCUGUUGGUUGGUUUGCUUUGUUUGGUGGGGAGGAGGGGGGGCAGUUCCUUGGCUCCUUCCUCCCGGCGGCGGCGCUUUUCCCCUUCCCCCAUCCGACGCCAUCCUGGGGCAGCAGGGGAGGGACCAUGGGGGCGGGGGGCAGUCUGAUGGGGCCUAUGGGAGCAGCACCAAAGAAGCUUUCUUCCAAACCCCCCCCAAGUUUAAUCAUCAAAAAGAAAACCCCGAGAGGUGGCUGACCAUCAUUCUCUCCUCCUAGCCCCUCGGUGGGGAGUGGAGAGAAGGGGAAGAAGGGCAGGGAGCAUGGGGCGAGUGGAAGCCCAGCUGCGAGGUUGGGGGGCAAAAGCCCCGUGCCCCGAGCCAGCCCCGUGGCCCCUCUGCCCUUCUCCCCUCUGCCCCCCCACUCCUGGAAUGGUGCUGGCCAGGGCCAGAGGAAGACGGGAGUGGGCAGACCACGGGCCUGGCCGGCCAAGGGAAUGAAUGCUGGUAGGAGGCCCCCUCCAGGGAGAGGAGAGAGGACCAAGACCCCUAAAGGCCACCCUCAGGUGGGCGUGGCUGACAGCCCCCAGCUGUGGUGUCCCGUUCGCUCCCCCUCCCGAGGCAGGGGUGGACCGGCUGGGGAUGUGGGGACACAGGACUGGGCGCGUGUCCGGCUCCGAACUGUCACAACUGCUGUUGUUCUGAAUGACAGGGGGAGGCGGGCGGGGGGCCGCCGGUAGAGGGGCAGGUGGAAGCCCUGCCCCUGGCUCCGCCUCACUUCAGGCCUGCUCUGGCUCAGGAGAGGGCUGGAACCCCAUGUGCCCGGCCGGGGGAAGGUCCUCGUCCCGGCUCUGGGCCCUCGGCCUCCCCUUCCUCCUCCUCUUCCUCCUCCAGCAUCUCCUCUGCCUCGGUGGUCCAGGGGCCCCGGGCCCUCUUUGGCUCCAGCUCCUCCUGAGUCACAUCCC